RNAcentral lists this ribosomal RNA (232 nucleotides) under uncultured bacterium. RNAcentral describes it as "partial 16S ribosomal RNA". It matches the Rfam family "Bacterial small subunit ribosomal RNA", at positions 118 to 351 of the family's 1533-position model. The record is from RNAcentral.
UGAGUAACCUGCCCUUAACUCUGGGAUAAGCCUGGGAAACUGGGUCUAAUACCGAAUAUGACCAUGCGCCUCCUGGUGUGUGGUGGAAAGCCUUUGCGGUGUGGGAUGGGCCCGCGGCCUAUCAGCUUGUUGGUGGGGUAAUGGCCUACCAAGGCGACGACGGGUAGCCGGCCUGAGAGGGCGACCGGCCACACUGGGACUGAGACACGGCCCAGACUCCUACGGGAGGCAG